RNAcentral lists this long non-coding RNA (489 nucleotides) under Apteryx haastii (Great spotted kiwi). RNAcentral describes it as "lncRNA (ENSAHAG00000018524.1)". The record is from RNAcentral. Lineage: Eukaryota; Metazoa; Chordata; Aves; Apterygiformes; Apterygidae.
AGCCUGCUGGUACCUGCAACAGAGACACAGGCCGCUGGCCCCUGAUGGAGGGAAGGAGAUGUCAUUUAGCAGCUUGGCGCUGACAGCURUUACAGGGGAGAUGAUGACAGGCUCGCAGCGUUGCAAGCUGUGCUCAGGGCGCAGUGUGUAAUGCUUGGCAAACCAGCUAUGAGAGUCUGGCAGAGCUGUGGAACUGCUAAAUGCUACCGAGCUGUGCUGAUACCACUGACUGCACAGAAGAGCUCCUGUGCCUGUUCUUUGKGGGAGAAGAAAGGAUGGAAGUCAAACGCCGGGAGAAAGAAGCUGGUUAUGAAGCAUCGCGUUACCUCGUCUAGAGACAGACGAUUGAUUCUGCUCCCAAGGAAGGGACCAACAGCGGGUGCGUUUGCAGAGCACGUUGUCCCGUGUGCUCUGGCUGCAGCCGACCCAGGCAGUGGCUCUUGCCGUAGCUUCUCACCUCCGCCUCCCUGCUCCCGUCUGCCAGCGUAA